AGCUAUGUCCAUCCGCCAUCCG
This 22-nucleotide microRNA is filed under the name Capitella teleta. RNAcentral's name for it is "cte-miR-2697". Lineage: Eukaryota; Metazoa; Annelida; Polychaeta; Capitellidae. The record is from miRBase by way of RNAcentral.